GGAUUAGUGGCGAACGGGUGAGUAACACGUGGGCAAUCUGCCCUGCACUCUGGGACAAGCCCUGGAAACGGGGUCUAAUACCGGAUAUGACUGUCCAUCGCAUGGUGGAUGGUGUAAAGCUCCGGCGGUGCAGGAUGAGCCCGCGGCCUAUCAGCUUGUUGGUGAGGUAGUGGCUCACCAAGGCGACGACGGGUAGCCGGCCUGAGAGGGCGACCGGCCACACUGGGACUGAGACACGGCCCAGACUCCUACGGGAGGCAGCAGUGGGGAAUAUUGCACAAUGGGCGAAAGCCUGAUGCAGCGACGCCGCGUGAGGGAUGACGGCCUUCGGGUUGUAAACCUCUUUCAGCAGGGAAGAAGCGAAAGUGACGGUACCUGCAGAAGAAGCGCCGGCUAACUACGUGCCAGCAGCCGCGGUAAUACGUAGGGCGCAAGCGUUGUCCGGAAUUAUUGGGCGUAAAGAGCUCGUAGGCGGCUUGUCACGUCGGUUGUGAAAGCCCGGGGCUUAACCCCGGGUCUGCAGUCGAUACGGGCAGGCUAGAGUUCGGUAGGGGAGAUCGGAAUUCCUGGU
RNAcentral lists this ribosomal RNA (571 nucleotides) under Streptomyces violascens. Its description in RNAcentral is "bacterial SSU rRNA". It matches the Rfam family "Bacterial small subunit ribosomal RNA", at positions 89 to 674 of the family's 1533-position model. The record is from RNAcentral. Lineage: Bacteria; Bacillati; Actinomycetota; Actinomycetes; Kitasatosporales; Streptomycetaceae.